CACACUAUCAUCAACAUGAUGCCAACAAUAACCAACAACUAAAAUACUCAAACUCCCAACAUUCUGAUCAGUGAUUUACAUGAUCAUCACAAGCACGAAAAAGAUCCCAAACAUUAUAAGAAACGUGUUCAGAAGGUUAUUCUCUUGAUGGCCUCGCCUCGAAUGGAAAUACUCAUGAACAUGAUGACCCCCAUGAAACCCACCCGGAAACCUCGGCCCAUAAACAUGUCGCAUGCCAUACUGCAACGGGUUUUGGAACCCAUGAACAUUCAUUUCAGCUAAAGACGGGAACAACCCACCGAUACCAGUAGAAAACGCAAAAUUCCCAAAUCUAGCAGACGCCAUAGGCGCAAACCCUCCAAACAUAGAAUUCGAAAAGUUGUUAAUAUCCGGAGGAGGAGCGGUCGCAGGUCUCUGUCCAGCUGGCCUGUGCGGGAUAUCAACGCCGGGUAUGCGUUUGGAUCUCGGGUCAGUUUGUUGUGUCUUCCCUCUGCCAUACAGAGGAAUCAGCUUCUCCUCUUAUAUUGCAUUCAAAAUCCCCAACAUCAUUGUCCCUUGAUGAAGAACUUUCUGGAAACCUCAUCGAUUCGU
This 591-nucleotide long non-coding RNA is filed under the name Helianthus annuus (common sunflower). Its description in RNAcentral is "sRNA HanXRQr2_Chr12g0559121". Lineage: Eukaryota; Viridiplantae; Streptophyta; Magnoliopsida; Asterales; Asteraceae. The record is from RNAcentral.